CGUUAGCAAGGAUACAAGGUAGACGAAUUCCUCGACCACCUCGAAGGUAUCCCCGUCUAUCGUAACACUGCUUCCCAUGCGGGCCCUGUCGCGCUCGGUUCCGCCCACAAGCGGGUGUACAGUUCUGCCACCUUUGCAAAUGUUCGGCCGAUAAUGUCCAUGUCAUCCGCGAAACAAAUAAAUUGACUGGAUCUGUUGAGAAUCGUAUUCCGGCUGUUACACCCGGCUCUCCGCAUGACACCUUUUAGCGCAAUGUUGAACAACACGCACGAAAGUCUAUCAUCUUGUCUUAGUCACCAGCGCGAUUCAAACGAACUGGAGUGUUCGCCCGAAAUCUUCACACAGUUUUGUAAACCAUCCACCGUUGCUUUGAUCAGUCUGGUAAGCUUCCCAGGGAAUCUGUUCUCAUCCAUAAUUUUCCAUAGCUCUACGCGGUCUAUACUGUCGUAUGCCGCCUUGAAAUCAACGAACAGAUGGUGCGUUGGGACCUGGUAUUCACGGCAUUUUUGAAGGAUUUGUCGUACAGUAAAGAUCUGGUCCGUUGUCGAGUGGCCGUCAACGAAGCCGGCUUGAUAACUUUCCACGAACGCUUUCACUAAUGGUGACAGACGUCGGAAGAUGAUUGUAACCUGCGGCUACCAAUGUUACUCGCGGCUCCUCCGCAAGCGAUGGUUUCCUGUUCUUCAACCCACCGAGUAAUAAUCCCAUCUCAUGUUAGUGAGAAGAUGAGAUCCUUCUCACUAAGAUAAAAUGGUAAAGACCGAUUGCAUAUACGCGUCACUCAGUCAUUCAUUUACAGCGGUUUGAGCGUGAGCAUAAAAAAUAGAACGCUCACCACUUCGUUCAUUUGCUCUCCGUUGUCUCAGGAGAGAAUGGUUGCCAAAUUGAAAGAACAACAUCGGCUUGGUUCGUUGUUCGAUCGUAAUUAAUUAUUAAAUAAAAUAGCUCAGCUUGAUUCCGAACGAGGAUAGUCUGUCCGUGACCUCCUACGGGAAUCGUAGUGCGCGCCGGAAAAAUUAAACUUAAAUUGAAGUGGUAACCAGUUAAACCAAGUUAAACUGAAGAAGAUUUCUAAGUGCUAAUCUCGAAGUUAGUGUGUGGUCUAGACAAAGUAGUACGGAAAACAAUAGUACGGGAAUAAUUGUGAUAGUACGCUUAAAGAUCUAAACCACCACACGUGGCAAAUCGUAAUCAACCAAAUUGUAAAAUCAUCAUUAUCUACAAGAAAAAGGUCCGUUUAGUGGCCUUUUUCUUCUUUUUUGUGUUGCUUGGCAGGACGGUAAUCGCUGGAAGUGGGUUCGGUGGCUUUCCGACGCGCACGGGCAUCCCUCACGCCUAAACGAGGUCUGUGGAACGACAGUGGGCAUUCCAUCGCCCGAGCAAACGACCAUCUCGUCAACCCGGUAGCCAACAGCCGGCCGACGAAGCAGCCAUCGCUAUUAGCCACACGUGAACCACCUUGUCGCCCCGGUAGCCAACAGCCGGCCGGCGAAUCAGCCAUCGCUAUUAGCCACACGUGAACCACCUUGUCGCCCCGGUAGCCAGAAACCGGCCGACGAAUCCGUCAUCGCUAUUAGCCAGCUGUGUGCCCGUUUCAAUCAACCAUCGUGUCGCCCGGUAGCCAAAAGCCGGUCGGCAAUUCCGUCGUCGCAUCAGUCACACGUCCGCCCAGCCAAGCAACCCUCUCGUCAGCCUGCCGAGCCGCCAUCGCUGUAAGCCACCAGUUCGCUGAGCAAACCUCCUGCAACCAGCAUUGUUCUCUGUCAAGCCGGUGGAGCGAACCAGAAGGUCCACGUGUCACCAUCGCAUCGCUGCCUACGCUGAAUCAACGUCCGAUCGUCGCCACGACGGUGAGAUUGGAGU
This is a long non-coding RNA of Armigeres subalbatus, 1863 nucleotides long. RefSeq lists it as uncharacterized. The transcript is spliced from 4 exons. Lineage: Eukaryota; Metazoa; Arthropoda; Insecta; Diptera; Culicidae. The record is from RefSeq and is a predicted model, not a curated record.